UGGGGAAUAUUGGACAAUGGGCGCAAGCCUGAUCCAGCCAUGCCGCGUGUGUGAAGAAGGUCUUCGGAUUGUAAAGCACUUUACGUUGGGAGGAAGGGCAUUAACCUAAUACGUUAGUGUUUUGACGUUACCGACAGAAUAAGCACCGGCUAACUCUGUGCCAGCAGCCGCGGUAAUACAGAGGGUGCAAGCGUUAAUCGGAAUUCCUGGGCGUAAAGCGCGCGUAGGUGGUUUGUUAAGUUGGAUGUGAAAUCCCCGGGCUCAACCUGGGAACUGCAUUCAAAACUGACUGACUAGAGUAUGGUAGAGGGUGGUGGAAUUUCCUGUGUAGCGGUGAAAUGCGUAGAUAUAGGAAGGAACACCAGUGGCGAAGGCGACCACCUGGACUAAUACUGACACUGAGGUGCGAAAGCGUGGGGAGCAAACA
Molecule: ribosomal RNA, 427 nt
Filed under: uncultured bacterium
Lineage: Bacteria
Description: partial 16S ribosomal RNA
Rfam family: Bacterial small subunit ribosomal RNA
Source: RNAcentral